Molecule: transfer RNA, 77 nt
Filed under: marine sediment metagenome
Description: tRNA-Pro
Rfam family: tRNA
About the family: Transfer RNA (tRNA) molecules are approximately 80 nucleotides in length. Their secondary structure includes four short double-helical elements and three loops (D, anti-codon, and T loops).
Source: RNAcentral
CGGGAAGUGGCGGAGUCUGGUUUUACCGCGCCUGGCCUGGACCCAGGAGACCGCAGGUUCAAAUCCUGUCUUCCCGA